CUGACCUCAGAUCAGGCAAGACCACCCGCUGAGUUUAAGC
RNAcentral lists this ribosomal RNA (40 nucleotides) under Marchantia emarginata subsp. tosana. RNAcentral's name for it is "Marchantia tosana partial 26S rRNA". Lineage: Eukaryota; Viridiplantae; Streptophyta; Marchantiopsida; Marchantiales; Marchantiaceae. The record is from RNAcentral. RNAcentral also lists the same sequence under 1 other name.